RNAcentral lists this ribosomal RNA (254 nucleotides) under uncultured bacterium. RNAcentral's name for it is "partial 16S ribosomal RNA". It matches the Rfam family "Bacterial small subunit ribosomal RNA", at positions 524 to 776 of the family's 1533-position model. The record is from RNAcentral.
UACGGGGGGAGCAAGCGUUGUUCGGAUUUACUGGGCGUAAAGGGCGCGUAGGCGGCCACCGCAAGUCGACCGUGAAAUCUCCGGGCUUAACCCGGAAAGGUCAGCCGAUACUGCGGGGCUAGAGUGCAGAAGGGGCAACUGGAAUUCUCGGUGUAGCGGUGAAAUGCGUAGAUAUCGAGAGGAACACCUGCGGCGAAGGCGGGUUGCUGGGCUGACACUGACGCUGAUGCGCGAAAGCUAGGGGAGCGAACGGG